AUUGAUUGAUGGUGCUUGCACCUGAUUGAUUUUGGUCGCCAACGAGUGGCGGACGGGUGAGUAACACGUAGGUAACCUGCCCAGAAGCGGGGGACAACAUUUGGAAACAGAUGCUAAUACCGCAUAACAACGUUGUUCGCAUGAACAACGCUUAAAAGAUGGCUUCUCGCUAUCACUUCUGGAUGGACCUGCGGGGCAUUAGCUUGUUGGUGGGGUAACGGCCUACCAAGGCGAUGAUGCAUAGCCGAGUUGAGAGACUGAUCGGCCACAAUGGGACUGAGACACGGCCCAUACUCCUACGGGAGGCAGCAGUAGGGAAUCUUCCACAAUGGGCGCAAGCCUGAUGGAGCAACACCGCGUGAGUGAAGAAGGGUUUCGGCUCGUAAAGCUCUGUUGUUAAAGAAGAACACAUUGAAAGUAACUGUUCAUACGUUGACGGUAUUUAACCAGAAACUCACUACUAACUACGUGCCAGCAUCCACUGUAAUACGUAGCUG
This 497-nucleotide ribosomal RNA is filed under the name Limosilactobacillus fermentum. RNAcentral describes it as "bacterial SSU rRNA". It matches the Rfam family "Bacterial small subunit ribosomal RNA", at positions 61 to 533 of the family's 1533-position model. Lineage: Bacteria; Bacillati; Bacillota; Bacilli; Lactobacillales; Lactobacillaceae. The record is from RNAcentral.